UCCUUCUCAAUGAGCUCCGUCCUGCUGUGCCUUCAGUGGCAGGCCACGGAUUCGCACGAGAAGAAGAGUAAACCCUCAGCCCUGACACACACACACACCCUCGAGAGUCUCCACCUCCUUGGGAUGAAUUAACUGUCACGGCUGCGGGACAACU
Molecule: small nucleolar RNA, 154 nt
Filed under: Notechis scutatus (mainland tiger snake)
Lineage: Eukaryota; Metazoa; Chordata; Lepidosauria; Squamata; Elapidae
Description: Small nucleolar RNA SNORA75 (ENSNSUG00000005157.1)
Source: RNAcentral